This 29-nucleotide small RNA is filed under the name Bombyx mori (domestic silkworm). RNAcentral describes it as "ovarian small RNA-30445". Lineage: Eukaryota; Metazoa; Arthropoda; Insecta; Lepidoptera; Bombycidae. The record is from RNAcentral.
UGAAACUCAGCAAACCAGCGAAUUGUGGU